Molecule: ribosomal RNA, 109 nt
Filed under: Larimichthys crocea (large yellow croaker)
Lineage: Eukaryota; Metazoa; Chordata; Actinopteri; Sciaenidae
Source: RNAcentral
GCUUACAGCCAUACCACCCUGAGUGUGCCAGAUUUCCGAAGCUAAGCAGGGUCAGGCCUGGUUAGUACUUGGAUGGGUGACCGCCUGGGAAUACCAGAUGCUUUCAGCU